UGCAGGCUUCUUCAGGCCCCUUUCCUGCACAUGGGAGCCCACUGCGGCUGAACACUUCCCUGGCCUGCUUGUCCAGAGGGAAGAAGCAGGCAGGAUGGUCCCCUGGGCACCACAGGGCUCCUGCUCUUGGGACAUCACCAUCCCCUGUUCCAAGGACAGCUGCUUGCUGCUCACAGAAGAGGGCAUGCCCACAGGAACAGUGUCUGCAGGAAUGACUUACUGCCUCUCCCUCUUGUCCUCCACAGAUGGACCAGCCAUUGCUGAAGGGUGAGCCAUGCCAGCCCAGCCAGCUGACUGAAGCUGGGGAAGCCGCAAGCAAUAGCAGAUCCACCAUGACCUCAUGCGACAGCACAUUGCAGUCCUGUGAGGCAUGCAGCAAACAGUCGCCCAAAAGCCUCAUGAAGAUUUUCUCCUGUAAAUAAUUAUAGCUUUGUGAUUGACAUCACCUUUCCAGUUUAUGCAUCCCUCAUAAAGGUCCGUUGCAUCUAGCAAUGAUGGUAUGCAGAAUCCCUGUAAUCACCGAUGAGUGGGUUGGGACUUAUCGAUUACUGAAUGACUUCACUGGUUCCAAUGAUGUUAAAGUGCUCCCUUGCCUGUGGAACCCUAGGCAGCUGUCCAUUUAGCCUAUGGUGACAAGGCUACCCCUCUUCACAGCUGUGAUAUGAUUCAUUUAAUAGCAUAUUACAUGCAGUGCUCACUGAAUGUUCUAUUGUUUUAGCUUUUUUCAAUAAAGGAGUCAUUCAAAGUAAAUAGUGACCUCAUCA
Non-coding RNA from Pelodiscus sinensis (Chinese soft-shelled turtle), 764 nucleotides. NCBI's taxonomy places the organism in Eukaryota, Metazoa, Chordata, Testudines, Trionychidae. The record is from RefSeq and is a predicted model, not a curated record.